UUCCUGGUGGUCUAGUGGUUAGGAUUCGGCACUUUGACUGCUGUGGCCUGGGUUCAAUCCCCAGUUGGGGGA
This 72-nucleotide transfer RNA is filed under the name Bos taurus (domestic cattle). It matches the Rfam family "tRNA". Rfam says of the family: Transfer RNA (tRNA) molecules are approximately 80 nucleotides in length. Their secondary structure includes four short double-helical elements and three loops (D, anti-codon, and T loops). Lineage: Eukaryota; Metazoa; Chordata; Mammalia; Artiodactyla; Bovidae. RNAcentral also lists the same sequence under 3 other names. The record is from Rfam by way of RNAcentral.